RNAcentral lists this microRNA precursor (56 nucleotides) under Ornithorhynchus anatinus (platypus). RNAcentral describes it as "Oan-Mir-128-P2_pre stem-loop". It matches the Rfam family "mir-128 microRNA precursor family", at positions 15 to 71 of the family's 83-position model. Lineage: Eukaryota; Metazoa; Chordata; Mammalia; Monotremata; Ornithorhynchidae. The record is from RNAcentral.
CGGGGCCGAGACACUGUCUGAGGGGUUUACGAGUCUCACAGUGAACCGGUCUCUUU